This 460-nucleotide ribosomal RNA is filed under the name uncultured bacterium. Its description in RNAcentral is "partial 16S ribosomal RNA". It matches the Rfam family "Bacterial small subunit ribosomal RNA", at positions 338 to 795 of the family's 1533-position model. The record is from RNAcentral.
CCUACGGGAGGCAGCAGUGAGGAAUAUUGGUCAAUGGGCGGAAGCCUGAACCAGCCAAGUAGCGUGCAGGAUGACGGCCCUACGGGUUGUAAACUGCUUUUAUACGGGAAUAACGCGCCUUACGUGUAGGGCUUUGCAUGUACCGUAUGAAUAAGGACCGGCUAAUUCCGUGCCAGCAGCCGCGGUAAUACGGAAGGUCCGGGCGUUAUCCGGAGUUAUUGGGGUUAAAGGGAGCGGAGGCGGCAUGUCAAGCGUGCUGUGAUAUGUACGGGCUCAACCCGGGCCUUGCAGCGCGUACUGGCGUGCUGGAGUCCGCGGAAGGCAGGCGGAAGUCGUGGUGGAGCGGUGAAAUGCUUAGAUAUGUGGAAGAACCCCGAUUGCGAAGGCAGCUUGCUGCAGCGGAACUGACGCUGAUGCUCGAAAGCGCGGGUAUCGAACAGGAUUAGAUACCCUGGUAGUC